GUGUCAGCCGCCGCGGUAAUACGUAGGAGGCAAGCGUUGUCCGGAUUUACUGGGCGUAAAGAGCGUGUAGGCGGCCUGUCAAGUCUGCUGUGAAAGCUCUCGGCUUAACCGGGAGAGGUCGGUGGAAACUGGCAGGCUAGAGGACGGUAGAGGGGGGUGGAAUUCCCGGUGUAGUGGUGAAAUGCGUAGAUAUCGGGAGGAACACCAGUGGCGAAGGCGGCCCCCUGGGCCGCUCCUGACGCUGAGACGCGAAGGCCAGGGUAGCGAACGGGAUUAGAAACCCGCGUAGUCC
Molecule: ribosomal RNA, 292 nt
Filed under: uncultured bacterium
Lineage: Bacteria
Description: partial 16S ribosomal RNA
Rfam family: Bacterial small subunit ribosomal RNA
Source: RNAcentral